GUGUCAGCAGCCGCGGUAAUACGGGGGGUGCUAGCGUUAAUCGGAUUUAUUGGGCGUAAAGCGCGCGUAGGCGGUUUCGUAAGUCAGAUGUGAAAGCCCAAGGCUCAACCCCGGAAGUACAUUUGAAACUGCGGAACUUGAGUAUGGGAGAGGGAAGUGGAAUUCCUGGUGUAGCGGUGAAAUGCGUAGAUAUCAGGAGGAACACCGGUGGCGAAGGCGACUUCCUGGACCAAUACUGACGCUGAGGCGCGAAGGCGUGGGGAGCAAACAGGAUUAGAUACCCUGGUAGUCCACGCAGUAAACGGUGAUCACUAGGUGUAGCGGGUAUUUACCCCUGCUGUGCCGAAGCUAACGCAUUAAGUGAUCCGCCUGGGGAGUACGAUCGCAAGGUUAAAACUUAAAUGAAUUGACGGGG
Molecule: ribosomal RNA, 415 nt
Filed under: uncultured prokaryote
Description: bacterial SSU rRNA
Rfam family: Bacterial small subunit ribosomal RNA
Source: RNAcentral